AUAGUUCAUGUUACACUAUAGGUAAAAAACUUAACUGGUUGAAAUGUUGAAUAGCUUUUAUGUAGACUUCCGCUAAAACAAUUUACUGGUUGAAUAGCUUCACUCGUAGACAUUUAAGUUGAGCCCAUGAAGUGAGCCAACCCAAUGGGCUUAUUAAUUUUUCCAUCUUCUACGGUGCAAGCUGAUGUUUUUAGUGUUGCGUUGCCCAACAUGGGCUUCUUUCCUCAUUCUGAAAAUUUUCUAUUAUGGCUUCAUUCUUGGAAUCGACAAAAUUAUGAUUGUGUUUGUGUUCUUGUUUUUUAAGCAUAACAUUUGUUGGGCAUAGAUUUUUUUCCCCCUCCCCAAAGCAUAUCGUAACUAAAAAUUAAAAAUUUUCCCUGGCGUUCAAAUCAAAGGCAUCUCAUAUCAACUUUAGAGACUCUUUUAUCUUUGGAUCAAUUGAUGACACCCACAUUCAACACUGAUAAUUGCUAAUAUUAGUUGGAUACAGUAUACAUAGAGUUUUCAUGAAAUCAUUGGUUCCAAUCAAUGCUUAUAUUUCAAGAAUGUGAAAUUAUUCUUUACUAUUUUGGGUGAAUUGGUUUUUUAUUAUUAGAAUCCGGCUAUGUUGAAAUCGAUUUAAGGUAAAACAAACAUUCAUAACCAUACGAUUAAAGUUAUAACAUAUUUUUUUAUUAUUUAUCACAUUGCGUGUGUGGUUGUGAUUUGUGCUCUAUCUUGAAGCAACUCCAAAGUAACCAUUGCCUUAUUAUGAUUAUUGGAGUCUGGUUAUGUUGAAAUUAUUUUACGGUAGAACAAUAUGGAUAACCGUACGAUCAUAAAAAUAAAUAUUAAAUUUGUACUUACUGCUGCGAUCCACAAUCAUCAUUUAUACUCUACCAUGCAGCAGCUCUAACUUAACCACUACCUUAUUCCUUAAUUUUAUUAUUAUUUUCACAAGAGAUUUUGAUGAGUCAAGAGUUUCACUUCGCCGACAAUCAACUCUCGAGCAAAUUAGUGCUAGCAUGUGAUAGCUGUAGUACCAUCAGGCGCUGAGUGCACAGGAGAAGGACAGCUAGCAAAUUUGACCAAUCCGAUUGAACUUCUUCCAAAAGGUGAUAGUCAUACGUGUCAACUCAAAAGCAAAAAUUUUUCCCCUAUCUUAUGCUGUUGCUGAUGAUUCAAGAAGAACAGGAAGAACCCAAAGAACUGAGCAGUGCCGAAAUACAGUCCCCACUCAUCAGUCAGUCAAAAGAAUAUUAACAAAAAGCUUCUGUCUUUCACAGCCAGCGAGUACGUGUCAUGUUUCUACAGGUUCCAUUCAGUCGUCCCUAAAGAGAGAAGAACCAUUUUACGUGUGAUUAAAUUAUGAAUGCCUAAUGCGUGCUUUAAACCUGGCCUUCACAGCAAUAGUACGUAUCUCAAUAUUUGUGAAAAAAGAUGAGGAUUUGUCUUUUUUAAAUUUUUAAUUAAUAAAGUACCUGGUUAAUAGACAAUUGUAGUUGGCCGGGAAUGAUUCCCCUGCCUUUAAGUGGGCGGCUUCGUUUGUUUUCUUUUUAUUUUUGUUUUUUGAAUUAUUAGGUUACUUAUCCGGCCAAGAUACACGAAAAUUCAAUGCCAUUUUGAUGGAUUAAUUUAUCUGAAAGUGGGUGAGAAUUUACUUUAAUUUUGUUUUUUCCAAUCAUGAAUAGAGAAUUGGAGAUGGAAUGGCAAAGAUAUCUAAUUUUGUGACGUCAAUUAUUUUAAUUUGGCCUCUAGUCACGUCAAAAUUUAGAAAAAUGCAUCGAAUUAGAUGACAAUGCAUUUAUUUCUUUAUCUUCAACUAUUGGAGGUUCUUAAUUAUCUUUUGAUCAUGGAAUUGCUAAAAAAUUAGGGUCCAACUACAGUGCAACUGUAGUACCAUACCACAGUUGCACCUAGCCAUUAGAUCCAGUUAUCUAGCCAUUAGAUCUCUCACCAUAACUGAAUCCAAUGACUAAGUACAACUGCACCAUAGUUAAGUCCAAAAAUUAAUAUCUAUGUUUAGAUGUUUAGAUCCAAUUUAAUAUUGCAUUGCUGUAACUUCUAAGUUAAUAUUUUAAUUAUUGUGGAAAAAAUUAC
This 2079-nucleotide long non-coding RNA is filed under the name Citrus x clementina. Its description in RNAcentral is "Citrus clementina (C. clementina) long non-coding RNA (CCLE_LNC000593)". The record is from RNAcentral. Lineage: Eukaryota; Viridiplantae; Streptophyta; Magnoliopsida; Sapindales; Rutaceae.